GCCGUGGCCUACUGGUUAGCGCUUCGGACUUGUAACCGGAGGGUUGCCGGUUCGAACGCCGACCAGUAGGCA
Molecule: transfer RNA, 72 nt
Filed under: Alosa alosa (allis shad)
Lineage: Eukaryota; Metazoa; Chordata; Actinopteri; Clupeiformes; Clupeidae
Description: tRNA-OTHER
Source: RNAcentral